Molecule: unclassified non-coding RNA, 354 nt
Filed under: Hevea brasiliensis (rubber tree)
Lineage: Eukaryota; Viridiplantae; Streptophyta; Magnoliopsida; Malpighiales; Euphorbiaceae
Source: RNAcentral
GGCAAUGAAAUUGAGAAUAAUCACAUAAAUAGACAAAAUAACUUCUUUAGACAGAAUAACGAUUCCAGACAGGACAACUUUAGACAGAGCAAUAGUUCUAUGCAGAGCACCACUACCACCAGACAGAUAAGUAACGGUUUCAGAAGCAACCUUUAUGGGAGUAACUAUAGAGAGAACAGUUAUAAUAACAGUGUCAACUCUAGACAGAACAACAGUUUUAGGGGCAAUAAUGUCACAGAGAGAAUGCGCCAGAGCCGGGUUAACAAUAUUAGAAGAAGAUGGGAUCAGCAGAGGUACAAUGUUAGGAGAAACAGAUGUCAUCAUAUUAUUGUUCUGUCCAACGCUGUUGAUUCC